Molecule: ribosomal RNA, 130 nt
Filed under: Asparagus officinalis (garden asparagus)
Lineage: Eukaryota; Viridiplantae; Streptophyta; Magnoliopsida; Asparagales; Asparagaceae
Description: 5.8S ribosomal RNA
Rfam family: 5.8S ribosomal RNA
About the family: 5.8S ribosomal RNA (5.8S rRNA) is a component of the large subunit of the eukaryotic ribosome. It is transcribed by RNA polymerase I as part of the 45S precursor that also contains 18S and 28S rRNA.
Source: RNAcentral
CAUCGAUGAAGAACGUAGCGAAAUGCGAUACUUGGUGUGAAUUGCAGAAUCCCGUGAACCAUCGAGUCUUUGAACGCAAGUUGCGCCCGAGGCUACUUGGCCGAGGGCACGCCUGCCUGGGCGUCAUGCC